RNAcentral lists this ribosomal RNA (853 nucleotides) under Virgibacillus halodenitrificans. RNAcentral describes it as "bacterial SSU rRNA". It matches the Rfam family "Bacterial small subunit ribosomal RNA", at positions 38 to 875 of the family's 1533-position model. The record is from RNAcentral. Lineage: Bacteria; Bacillati; Bacillota; Bacilli; Caryophanales; Bacillaceae.
UGCAGUCGAGCGCGGGAAGCAAGCUGAUCCUCUUCGGAGGUGACGCUUGUGGAACGAGCGGCGGACGGGUGAGUAACACGUGGGCAACCUGCCUGUAAGACUGGGAUAACCCCGGGAAACCGGGGCUAAUACCGGAUAAUACUUUUCAUCACCUGAUGGAAAGUUGAAAGGUGGCUUUUAGCUACCACUUACAGAUGGGCCCGCGGCGCAUUAGCUAGUUGGUGAGGUAACGGCUCACCAAGGCAACGAUGCGUAGCCGACCUGAGAGGGUGAUCGGCCACACUGGGACUGAGACACGGCCCAGACUCCUACGGGAGGCAGCAGUAGGGAAUCUUCCGCAAUGGACGAAAGUCUGACGGAGCAACGCCGCGUGAGUGAUGAAGGUUUUCGGAUCGUAAAGCUCUGUUGUUAGGGAAGAACAAGUGCCGUUCGAAUAGGGCGGCACCUUGACGGUACCUAACCAGAAAGCCCCGGCUAACUACGUGCCAGCAGCCGCGGUAAUACGUAGGGGGCAAGCGUUGUCCGGAAUUAUUGGGCGUAAAGCGCGCGCAGGCGGUCCUUUAAGUCUGAUGUGAAAGCCCACGGCUCAACCGUGGAGGGUCAUUGGAAACUGGAGGACUUGAGUACAGAAGAGGAGAGUGGAAUUCCACGUGUAGCGGUGAAAUGCGUAGAGAUGUGGAGGAACACCAGUGGCGAAGCGACUCUCUGGUCUGUAACUGACGCUGAGGCGCGAAAGCGUGGGGAGCGAACAGGAUUAGAUACCCUGGUAGUCCACGCCGUAAACGAUGAGUGCUACGUGUUAGGGGGUUUCCGCUCCUUAGUGCUGAAGUUAACGCAUUAAGCACUCCGCCUG